RNAcentral lists this RNase P RNA (411 nucleotides) under Prolixibacteraceae bacterium. RNAcentral describes it as "RNase P RNA component class A". It matches the Rfam family "Bacterial RNase P class A". From Rfam's summary of the family: Ribonuclease P (RNase P) is a ubiquitous endoribonuclease, found in archaea, bacteria and eukarya as well as chloroplasts and mitochondria. Its best characterised activity is the generation of mature 5'-ends of tRNAs by cleaving the 5'-leader elements of precursor-tRNAs. Lineage: Bacteria; Pseudomonadati; Bacteroidota; Bacteroidia; Marinilabiliales; Prolixibacteraceae. The record is from RNAcentral.
ACCGCAGACCGCUUUAUCGCUGUCCUGAGAAAUUGGGAGAGAGGAAAGUCCGGGCAACACAGGGCGUCGUACUUCUUAAUGGGAAGGCAGGCGAAAGUUUGCAGUAAGGUAACAGAAAAUGACCACCCGGUUUUGAUGCGUCAUGACCGGGAACGGGUGAAAAGGUGAGGUAAAAGCUCACCGGCGGCGGUGGCAACAUCGCUGGCCGUACCUCUUUCGGGUUGUAAGGCCAAAUAUAUCGCGAUUUGCUCCCGAGUAACCGGGAGCAUACAGGGCUGCCCGCUUUGGUUUUUCGGAAGUCGCGAGGGGUAGGCUGCUCGAUCGUUUCGGUGACGAAACGGCUAGAUAAAUGAUAAAGGCCUUUCGAGCAAUCGGAGGGAACAGAACCCGGCUUACAGGUCUGCGUAUUUU